AUGGCUUCAGCUUGGAACCAGGUGAGACACGGCAGUGUGACAAAAGUUGGUGUCACCCAAUACCAGUUGAAGGCCCAGCCCAUGUGCUUCUGCAAGACUUCUGUACCUUCUCGGGGGCUUCAGGACCCACGGUCACAUUUGACCCUAUCUGCCUGCCCUCACUGGCCUUUCCCCAUCUCUCAUGGUUCCCUCCCCACCGUCAUCCCCCCACCACUACGUAGUCCUGCCAAGUUCAACAUGGAGUUUGGGCCCCUCUUUUCCACUAAGCACAGACACCACGCAGCACACGACUCCGAGACCCUCCAGAACGAUUUUGGAGGUGGGAGGGGCUUUGUGUCACAGCCACACAAGCAUAUGAGAAUCGAACGCUGAAUUUCCGGCUUCCACCAGUGCUGCCACCACCACCAUGUUGCUCACACCCCAGUUCCAUCAGUAUACAUUUCCUUUCUGCUUUUUUUUUUUUUUUUUUUUUUUUUUUUUGAGACAGAGUCUCAGUCUGUCGCCCAGGCUGGAGUGCAGUGGCACAGUCUCGGCUCACAGCAACCUCCGCCUCCCAGGUUCAAGGGAUUCUCCUGCCUAAGCCUCCUGAGUAGCUGGGAUUAUAGGGAUGCACCACCACGCCUGGCUAAUUUUUGUAUUUUUAGUGGAGACGGAGGUUUCACCGUGUUGAUCAGGCUGGUCUUGAACUCCUGACCUCGUGAUCCACCCGCCUUGGCCUCCCAAAGUGCUGGGAUUACAGGUGUGAGCCACCGUGCGUGGCUUUUUUUUUUUUUUUUUUGACAGAGUCUCGCUCUGUCGCCCAUGCUGGAGUGCCGUGGUAUGAUCUUGGCUCACUGCAACCUCGUGGGUUCAAGCAGUUCGCCUGCCUCGGCCACUUGAGUAGCUAGGAUUACAGGCACAUGCCACCAUGCCCAGCUAUUUGUUGUAUUAAUAUUUUUAAUAGAGAUGGGUUUUUACCAGUUUUGCCAGGCUAGUCUCAAACUCCUGACUUCAAGAGAUCCGUUCUCCUUGGCCUCCGAAAGUGCUGAGAUUACAGGCAUGAACCACUGCACCCGGUCCCCAUUCCGCUUUAUUAGAACGAUUCAGCUUCCUCAGCCUUAGCGGGCAGCUGCUCCAGGUGCCUUUGUGGAUUGACAGAAGCCUCCUCCACUCCUGUGGCCGCCCAGCUCCGGACCUCGCCUCCCUCCUACCCCCGCUUAGGCUCGCAGGGGAAGGGAGAGGAGGAAGAUGAAUUUCCCUGCUGAUUAGAGAUGUGUCGCUCAUUGCUUUUCCUCCCACGGGAAAGCUGGUGCGUCAGGUGUGGGUUACAAUGAGCCAUCGCUUUUCCCUCUGUCCCACUGGGACCUCAGUAGACACAGAGGUUAUGGGAGCAUGGCAGGGGCACCUAAGGGAGUCUGGGGCUCAGGGAAGCUUUUCUAGGGGAGGACACAUCUCAUGAUGAGAUGCUGGCAGGAACUGGAGUUGGCCAGAUGAAGCUGGGGGUGGUGUGGGGACAGGAGGGCCGCCUGGCCAGGAGGGCUCUCCCGGGCUGCAGGUUGACGACAUGAACCUCUCAGUAUGGGGGCAGUAGCUCUCUGCAUUAGGAUCCUUUUGGUUGUAAGUGACCGAAACUGAAGGCAAACAGGCAAAAAAUAAAGAGCAUUUCCUGG
This 1649-nucleotide long non-coding RNA is filed under the name Macaca mulatta (Rhesus monkey). Its description in RNAcentral is "lncRNA (ENSMMUG00000057530.1)". Lineage: Eukaryota; Metazoa; Chordata; Mammalia; Primates; Cercopithecidae. The record is from RNAcentral.